RNAcentral lists this ribosomal RNA (471 nucleotides) under uncultured bacterium. RNAcentral describes it as "partial 16S ribosomal RNA". It matches the Rfam family "Bacterial small subunit ribosomal RNA", at positions 28 to 507 of the family's 1533-position model. The record is from RNAcentral.
GACGAACGCUGGCGGCGUGCUUAACACAUGCAAGUCGAACGAUGAAGCGGUGCUUGCACCGUGGAUUAGUGGCGAACGGGUGAGUAAUACGUGAGUGACCUACCUUUGACUCUGGGAUAAGCCUGGUAAACUGGGUCUAAUACCGGAUACGACCAAUCUCUGCAUGGGGUGUUGGUGGAAAGCGUUAUGUAGUGGUUUUAGAUGGGCUCACGGCCUAUCAGCUUGUUGGUGAGGUUAUGGCUUACCAAGGCGACGACGGGUAGCCGGCCGGAGAGUGUGACCGGCCACACUGGGACUGUGACAGGGCCCAGACUCCUACGGGAGGCAGCAGUGGGGAAUAUUGCACAAUGGGCGCAAGCCUGAUGCAGCGACGCCGCGUGAGGGAUGACGGCCUUCGGGUUGUAAACCUCUGUUAGCAUCGAAGAAGCGAAAGUGACGGUAGGUGCAGAGAAAGCGCCGGCUAACUACGUG